Molecule: ribosomal RNA, 468 nt
Filed under: uncultured bacterium
Lineage: Bacteria
Description: partial 16S ribosomal RNA
Rfam family: Bacterial small subunit ribosomal RNA
Source: RNAcentral
GACGAACGCUGGCGGCGUGCUUAACACAUGCAAGUCGAACGGAAAGGCCCUGCUUUUGUGGGGUGCUCGAGUGGCGAACGGGUGAGUAACACGUGAGUAACCUGCCCUUUACUUUGGGAUAACUUCAGGAAACUGGGGCUAAUACCGGAUAUGAGCUCCUGCUGCAUGGUGGGGGUUGGAACGUUUCGGCGGGUGGGGAUGGACUCGCGGCUUAUCAGCUUGUUGGUGGGGUAGUGGCUUACCAAGGCUUUGACGGGUAGUCGGACUGAGGGGGUGACCGGCCACAUUGGGACUGAGAAACGGCCCAAACUCCUAAGGGAGGAAGCAGUGGGGAAUAUUGAAAAAUGGGCGGAAGCCUGAUGCAGCAACGCAGCGUGCGGGAUGACGGACUUAGGGUUGUAAACCGCUUUCGCCUGUGACGAAGCGUGAGUGACGGUAAUGGGUAAAGAAGAACCGGCUAACUACGUG